Molecule: non-coding RNA, 5126 nt
Organism: Paramuricea clavata
Lineage: Eukaryota; Metazoa; Cnidaria; Anthozoa; Malacalcyonacea; Plexauridae
Source: the annotation of a GenBank genome assembly
GCUUGGAGGCGUCAUUGUGACUCGAAGUUUAGGAAAGUACACAUUAAAGUUAGUGCAAAACUUCGCUAUAUGAAACGUUUUCGAAAUAAAAUCGUUGUGCCAUACAGAGGGAAAGGUCAGUAUUAAAUUUAGCUAUUUUUUAAACGUUUUUGAGUUGUUCUUGUUAAGUUAUUGCUGUUUUUUAAAACACGUGUCUAUAUUCAUUGUAGUAUGUAUUCAAUUUGAUUCCCAUUCAAGCGCUUCGUUUCAGCGCUCAGUGGCUUUAUUUUCUCUAUGUUUCUCCCGAAUUUCCUACCAGUAAUGUUCAAAAAUACCCCAGCUUUGAUUCAUUUAACUCACAUUUAGUUUAUCUGCAAUUUCAGGGCGAAAAUUUGAAGAGAAAGUGAACUAAUUUAAGUCACCGACAUGGUCGAAAUGCCGAAGCACUUGGUAAGCAAAGGCGUUUCGUUCUUGUUUGUUUAUCGUUUUUAAGCUUUCUCAAUAUACCUAGAACGUCUUCUAGCAUUGCUUUGUAACCUUAUGAACACUCUAAGUCAAGUUUAGUUACAAUAUUGGUGAAACUUUUGUCCAUACCGAGCGAAUUGCCGAUUUUAGGCAUGUUCAAUUUCACAUGGAGACGUGGCAUAUAAUUUUCGAGCAUUUUAGCUUUUACAAACUAGUCGUUUAUGUACAAUUGUUCUUUGAGAGGGAAGGCUUAGCUUUUUUAGUUUCUUAGAUUGUGUAAGUUGAAUUUCAUCCAAUAUUUUUACGAAAUUUAAAGGCGAAAUGUCCUCGUGGUUCAUGCCGUAAUUUUAUGCAUAGAUGCACGCACUCUUAAAAUUAAAUUACUGAAUUGGAUAACCACACCUUGUGUAAACGACAUUGAAUAACUCUUCGUUGUUUUGAAACUAAAAAUUCAUUGUCCAUUUUUUUAGACUGCCUCAAAGUCGAUCAUUCCAGUGGCAAACAGUACAGAAAGACCUCUGCACAGAUUUGAAAGGGCGCUCGCCUAGCAGUCGAAGCAAAACGAGAAAGAUUAGAAGACAAAGGACAAAUGAGACCAGCCACCAGCUCGAUUCCUUUGCGAACCCACAGCAUUCAUUGUCAGAUUUCGUUUGUGCAAAGUUUAGAAGAGAUUGCCACUUGUCCAGAGACUGUAACGAAGGCAUAUAAUAACAUACUCGAACUGUCUGUGCCAAAUAUACAAUAUGUAACGAAACGCUCUAAAGCAGAUCCUCGUCAGAUUUCGUUCAAUCAGCCAAUUGUGAAUGAGAUGCAAAAACCUGCUUAGCGACAAUCGACGCGGUACCAUCCAGAGAGCAUAACCAAUACGCCAUACCAUCGCCAAAGAUGUUGUACAUUACAGAAGGUAUAUUUUUCUCGUGAUUCUCGUUGUGCGUGUUCGAAAGUACGUGGGGGCCGCCCUGAGGACGCCCAAAUGAACAAAACAAAUUUAAAUGUGGCAUAUUUUCCUUAAUUUCGCAAUUUAUUCAAAUUUUCUACAUUUCUUGGUAUUUGUGAAAAGCUCUUAACGAAAUCGAAAUGUUUGAAAUUCGGAAGUUUCUAUCUGGGAGUUUGUUUAUUUGAAAGAUAUUUGAAAUGAAAUUUUGAAGUUUACAUCACUUUGAUAUUUGGUUUAAACGCUAGGUAAAAUCAUGCCAGAGGAGUGGUCGACCAUUCGUCGAAGUUCGGUGAUACUUCGGCUCGGAUUUCCCCGACCUACAGUCGAGUUGCUCUGAUCGAUUAUCAUGAUCAACUAGCGCAAAUGUAAGGUCUGGCCAGCCUUGCAUCUGUGCUUUUUGUUCGUGGCAUGAGAUUGGGGCAGCUCGCCUGUAGGCCUGGAAUGAUCAAGCCUAAGUACCACCGAGUUUUGAUUUGUGGCCGACUUUUUGUCUGUAUGGCUUUAUCCAGCGUUUUCCCGUUAUCAUUUUGAUGCAGACUUUGGGAUUUUGGCUUGAAUAUCUUUAAUAUAAACAUUCUUUGAGGUUUAAUCUUUCAAGAAUUUCAUGGUUUUUGACUAGUUAACGUGUUUCUCGCAGAUACUAUAAUUGUAUUAAAAAUAUUGACAAAAAAUUUAAAACUGACCAAAACAUCAUACCAUUGGAUAAAUACGGAUUGCUGUGACACUGUGUACUAUUGAAUAUAUUGUGAACAUUAAUGGAUUACAACGAACACUUAUGGAUUACUAUGAACAUUUGUGGAUAAAAUGUACCUCUCGAUCGACGGUUACCUACCAAUGUACCUUCACAACGAAAGCUACACGACUGCAACGAGAUGACUGCCUCAAGGUUAGAGGGUUUAGUCUGAUAACAAGCAGUUGUUAACUUGUUAUCAGGCAGUAGAGUUAGCCUGCUAUCAGGCAGUAGUUAGCCUGCUAACAGGCAGUAUAUAUGUAGGAUUCGUACCCAGGACACUAAUUUGCAUGUGGUCGGUGAAGUCUCUGGGUUAACCGGUUUAAAAUUCCUGGCGGUCUGUCGUUAGUAGUACAUCUGCACUCAAGGUUGAUUUUUAUUCAGAUGUUUGCAUGCUAAUAAAACUGAAUUGAGGUACAAUUUUGACCUCAGUUAAUCAGAAUUUUGACAUCAUCUGCAAUUGAAAGUCAAUCUUAAGAGGUUAACAUUUGAGCUUUCGGUCACGUGGUUCUUUGCAUGUACUCGGUUCGGUUAUUGGUGGGUUUCAGUAAGUGUUACAAUCUAGACGACUGUCAAUAUCAGAAAUGUUGGCACUUCCUGGAGUAACUUAAUUGCUUCAAAUACAAAACUGCUACAUAAAGUAAAAAAGAGUGAACAUUAAUUUUUCACCUUGAGUAACUCGUACUGAGACCCACUAGCUAUUUGCGGUCUGUUUGUGCCAGUGUUCUUCUCUUUGUGUAAAUGUACUGCUUAGGUGUCUACGUGUCUGUGCAUGGAUAACGCAGCGCGCAGCUAAUAUCCAGAAUAUAGGCAGACAAGUAAAACCUUGCCAGACUUUAAAAUUUUGUUUAUAUCGAUAUGUUACGUUCAUAAAUGUAUAGAAAUAUCAUGAAAUGUGUUAGGUUUUGGCUUGGGGUUAAAUCUAACCCUAUAACCUUAACCUUAAUCCAUUACAUGAUCUGUAUAUUUGUGUACGUAAUAUAUGGGUGUUGCUAAAAUUUUGUUAAAAAGCUGGCAUAGUUUUACUUGGGUAGGAUAACUAAACUGGGUGCAAAUGGUAUCCAUAGCUUAGAGGGUGCAAAUGGUACCCGUAAGAAGAUUGGUGGAUAUCGUUGUCGACAAUUUGUUUUGAAAGAUGUGGAUUCUCUCCGGGUACUACGGUUAACAACUACAAAAAGAUCAGCUUAGGACUGUAAUGACAUAAUUAUUGUAAUGAUAAAUAAUCUAGGCUUUAGUAAAUCUUUCAUCGCCCGUAGUGCAUGUAUAUCGCUGGUUUCGAACGUUAGUUUUCUGCUCCGGGUUAUAUGAAAACAGUUCGCUACCAGAGAUUAGGUCCCCUCUCUGUUAUGGCGUCUCGACGAUGCCGGAAGACAUUACCAUAAGGCAUGCAAACCUUACCCCUGUUUGUGGAAGCUCACCAGGUGCGAUCGGCACACUAAGUUAAGUUAAGCUAGGGGCAUGACCGAGACUCCACAUUCGGGGGUUUCCCUUGCAGGUUUUUGAAACGGUAUGUGUGCGCGCGCACUAGUUAGGAAGGUUAGGCAGCUAGAAAUAGGGCGUGCAUACUAUAAGGCAUGUAUAUACUAUAAUUCAUUAUCGUCAAACGUUUGCGCCAGUAACUUUCUGAGAAGUAUUUAAGACAACAGGAAAAUGGAAUCUAUUUUCCUGCUGAAAAAUACUUACAGAACCAAUUCAAAGUGGAAAAAAAGGAAAUAUUGCGAAAAAGAGAAAAAUAAAAAAGAAAACCGCGAAGCCACUUUGAAUAUAAGCAACAAUAGUCCAAGAAUACUCGUUGCAGAAAAAACAACAACAAAAAAGAAACAGUUUUCUGCCUAAAAUAUCUUGGAUUAGGGGCUUAACGAUAAGAAACGUAGUUCUCGCUCCAAAGUGGAGAAUAGGCUCGUUUCUUUAGGUUGCUAAUGCAUUGCGCGCACGCUUCAUAAAUUAUACUAUAAGUUUUCAGUUGAAAAGACCGCCAGGAAGAAUAGAGUGUUUUCACGUGUUGCUUUGUUGACGGACAAGUAUUUUAAAAUAAUGGUUUUCUUGUUUACUUGAAUUUCGGCACUAACUUGUUCCCAAACAUAGCCGCCGUGAAACACUCUGCAGAUCAAGUUUAUAUACGGUCGCAAUAGCAAUAUAGAAUGUUUGCCAUGUUGCAUUCCGUGUUGUCUUACAUUGUUCGUACAUGAGCUUGGUCGAACCAUGGAUAAUAAAAACACCAUGGUCGUGCGCAGCUAAUUAACAUAAGCGGCGUGCGCGUGCUGCUGUAAUGCGGAGUACAGUCAAUGAGUGUACUCCAUGUGCAAAUAGUGACGUGUGCUCUAUAUAGUCUAGACUUGAAAAACAAAUUAAGGUGCAUGUGGAUUAGAAUAAAGUGCGCAAAGUUUCAUGCAUAAUAAAAUUAAACGCGCCCAGUUGCAUGCUUAGUAUAAUUAAGGGCAUGAAAACCAGUGCAUGCUAAAUUAAAUUGAGUGCGCGCGUUGCAAUUUCCUUGCGCGCAAUAAAAACAAAAUGCGCCAAAAAUCUAAAUAUAGAAAUGCACACAUCACAUCUUCAAAAUGCAUCCAAGUGUACUAGCAGCUUUUACUAACUAUCGUAAAAUAGGUUGGACCAUUGGAUUCAUUUGCCACGCACCUUGUCCUGGACAUAUCUGAAAUAUUUUCAGGUUUCAAGGUUAAGACAAAUAUACCCUUAUGUGGAACAAUUUGUUCAUAAAGUAAAGAGAUAUAUUUGUCUUGCGCAAUCUGUAGACUGAGUUUUCGGGUGGUCUACAAUUUUUUUUUUUGAACAUCUCGUGUGAGAUUUUUAUUUUUAUUUUGAGUUUUUUUUAAAGAUUUUUACUUUUCUGGAUUUUGGUAGGUACGGGUAGGUAUGGGUAGGUAUAGUAUAUACUAUAGUUAAUUCGGUCGCACAGGGUUGUCCCCGGGGUUUUCGGAAUCCGGACUCGUAAUCACCAAGGUUUUUCACCAGAUCUUCUGGUUUUCCUCGGGUGAUUACGUAUUUUUUCGUUUGGCA